AUUGAACGCUGGCGGCAGGCCUAACACAUGCAAGUCGAACGGUAACAGGAAACAGCUUGCUGUUUCGCUGACGAGUGGCGGACGGGUGAGUAAUGUCUGGGAAACUGCCUGAUGGAGGGGGAUAACUACUGGAAACGGUAGCUAAUACCGCAUAACGUCGCAAGACCAAAGAGGGGGACCCUCGGGCCUCUUGCCAUCGGAUGUGCCCAGAUGGGUUUAGCUUGUUGGUGGGGUAACGGCUCACCAGGCGACGAUCCCUAGCUGGUCUGAGAGGAUGACCAGCCACACUGGAACUGAGACACGGUCCAGACUCCUACGGGAGGCAGCAGUGGGGAAUAUUGCACAAUGGGCGCAAGCCUGAUGCAGCCAUGCCGCGUGUAUGAAGAAGGCCUUCGGGUUGUAAAGUACUUUCAGCGGGGAGGAAGGGAGUAAAGUUAAUACCUUUGCUCAUUGACGUUACCCGCAGAAGAAGCACCGGCUAACUCCGUG
This 489-nucleotide ribosomal RNA is filed under the name uncultured bacterium. RNAcentral describes it as "partial 16S ribosomal RNA". It matches the Rfam family "Bacterial small subunit ribosomal RNA", at positions 30 to 507 of the family's 1533-position model. The record is from RNAcentral.